This 166-nucleotide unclassified non-coding RNA is filed under the name soil metagenome. RNAcentral describes it as "partial contains 5.8S ribosomal RNA, internal transcribed spacer 2, and large subunit ribosomal RNA". The record is from RNAcentral.
AACCUAGCACACCUGCGGUGUGUACCUGCGGAGGGAUCAUUAUUAAUUUUAAGCGGACUGAGCUUUCUUUGGUGAGUCUUGCGAAAAUUGUAUUUAAAACACCCGCUCGUAAAAAAAAAUUUAAUUAAAAUUUUCAUAAUUAAAGAUAACUUUUAACAACGGAUCU